Molecule: small nucleolar RNA, 70 nt
Organism: Dunckerocampus dactyliophorus (ringed pipefish)
Lineage: Eukaryota; Metazoa; Chordata; Actinopteri; Syngnathiformes; Syngnathidae
Product: small nucleolar RNA SNORD47
Exons: 1
Source: RefSeq, a predicted model, not a curated record
AACCUGUGAUGAAAAGAUUCUGCCAAAUGAACUCUGAUUAUAAACAUUACCGUUCCAUCUUUCUGAGCUU